AAUUGGCUGUGGCUGUCUUGAGGGUUGUAUUGAGAAAGGUUCUGAAGCACUGUUCUAAGCUCAGCUCGGGGGAGGUUAUUACUGACAAGCACUGUCUGCCACGUGUGUCUGGAAAGGGGUGGGCAGAGUGGUGGGAGGUACAGGCCAAACUGAGCCGGAGAGGCAUCCACGGUCACACAGCGGGAGGGGGUUCCCCACGCCCAGCAUGCUUUAGACAUUAUCCACAGACUUCCCACUACGGAAGAUGAGAAUGUAGCUGUCUCACGUAUUCUCACCUCCUGUCUCCUGAUGCCCCCAGCUACUUCCCUCCUCUCAUGCAUCCAGCACAGAUGUGUAAUAAUUGGAGGGGCAGGACAAUAUUGGGUAGAGGUGGUGGAACAGCUGACAUCUAUUUCUUGUUCCUGAUUACAAAGAGAGUACUUCUAUUUUUGUCUUGUUUCUAAUUAUUAGGAAGAUGCCUCUGUAAAGAAAUUGUUCACUGUGGAGUAUAAUGUUUGCAGGUUUUUAAACAGUUGUUAUUAAUUAGAUUAAACAAAUUUUUUUUCUAUGCCAAGUUUGCUUAAAAGUUUUCAGUGAGAAUAAAU
Molecule: long non-coding RNA, 584 nt
Filed under: Equus caballus (horse)
Lineage: Eukaryota; Metazoa; Chordata; Mammalia; Perissodactyla; Equidae
Description: lncRNA (ENSECAG00000058995.1)
Source: RNAcentral